Molecule: ribosomal RNA, 563 nt
Filed under: uncultured bacterium
Lineage: Bacteria
Description: partial 16S ribosomal RNA
Rfam family: Bacterial small subunit ribosomal RNA
Source: RNAcentral
UGGGGAAUAUUGGACAAUGGGCGCAAGCCUGAUCCAGCCAUACCGCGUGGGUGAAGAAGGCCUUCGGGUUGUAAAGCCCUUUUGUUGGGAAAGAAAUCCAGCCGGUUAAUACCUGGUUGGGAUGACGGUACCCAAAGAAUAAGCACCGGCUAACUUCGUGCCAGCAGCCGCGGUAAUACGAAGGGUGCAAGCGUUACUCGGAAUUACUGGGCGUAAAGCGUGCGUAGGUGGUCGUUUAAGUCCGUUGUGAAAGCCCUGGGCUCAACCUGGGAACUGCAGUGGAUACUGGGCGACUAGAGUGUGGUAGAGGGUAGCGGAAUUCCUGGUGUAGCAGUGAAAUGCGUAGAGAUCAGGAGGAACAUCCAUGGCGAAGGCAGCUACCUGGACCAACACUGACACUGAGGCACGAAAGCGUGGGGAGCAAACAGGAUUAGAUACCCUGGUAGUCCACGCCCUAAACGAUGCGAACUGGAUGUUGGGUGCAAUUUGGCACGCAGUAUCGAAGCUAACGCGUUAAGUUCGCCGCCUGGGGAGUACGGUCGCAAGACUGAAACUCAAAGGAA